AUGCAAUUGUUGAAAUUAGGAUUUGGGAAGAAGCCCCAUAGCACAUACCGUUAUGUAGUGGAGAGCUGUGGAAACCCUGAGGAACUUGCUGCUUUUUUGUCUCCCAAAUGCUGCUUAGAUGGUGUUGAAAUGCGCACAGCUCCUCCAUAAACUUGGCGAUGGCACCAGAAGUACAGAGAGAAUGAAGCACUGUACUGACUGAGCAGUCUUCCCAUCGCAGACCCCACUGAGGUUUGUUAGGAAACGUCUGCAGAUCUUUUGGCCGUUCCACCUCCUCUGAUUGGUGCAUGCGCAAAACGUCAGGUCAGAGAGUGCAUGUUUAUGUGCAGUGGAUGAAUGAUUGACCCCAACUGACAGGCAAGCUGCUGAUCCCAAAGAGGUUUUUGACACGCAUACGGCCCCGUUUCAGGUUUGCUUUCUAAGUCGUAUUAUUUUUAUUCUCAACUUGCAGCGAAGCCCUUUUACCCCUUGUCUUGCUGAUGGCCAAAGCUGGGCUGUCAGGGAGCUGCAGGCAGCGUGUGCUGGGAUGAGAGCAGCGUGUGGCCCCUGCAGCCCUGCCUCUGUGCACACCAGCACCGACGGAUGGAAGGAGAAGCUCCUGCCUUCAGUAAGCUACUCAGAGGGCUGUGCCGUGUCCUGCCGCACCCCUCCCUGUGCCCCCGCCCCUUACUUUCACAGUCACGUUCUGCUGAAGGAAGUAAAGCUUCCUUGUAAUGUGGGGAGAAUAAGUAAUGUGAAACCUACCCUGAGCCCUGUUCUCUGCACACGCCUGUCCCUCCCCUCAGCUUCGUGUGGGCAGCCUGCAGCGUCCCCAGCGAGUGUCAGCUCACCGUGCAGCCAGUGCCAGCUGCUGCUACCGCAUGCACCGCACUCCGAUGUGUACGUAGUUCUGGUGUGAGAGGGCAGUCCUGGUACCUCAGAGCUCCUGGCUUUCUUAAUCACUAUUGUUUUGUUCCGAUGUGCUGUACAAUGGUAUGUUCAGGUUAAUGAGCUUCCCGGCUCCCUUCGGAACUGGGGAAGCAUCUUUGCAAAAUCAAAGUGCUCCAAACCUCAUGUACUUGUAGAUUAAAGAGAUGCAAACCCUGCUUUGUGCUAGCACAGUAGUCAGUGUAUGUUCAUGGCUAUUCUUGAAUUACAUACUUGAAAGUUCACCAAUACUGAGAUGGAUCUGCGAAUGCUACCCUGCAGCUCGUCAGCAAGUUCUGCUCCUUCAGCCAAGGUGUGAAGACAGCAGUGUGGCUGUCAGCAAAGUCCCAGGCGCGGCUCUGAAGCAGCCGCUGUUCAGCUCUGCUUUCCCCACUGCUCGGCUCCCAGCUCAGAGUUGCAGCGCGCUGCUCCACGUUGCCCAUGCAGAUCUCAGCCGUGGUGCUGCUGUUCCCUUUCUCUUUCCAGGCAUCGUCUUUGCAUCCUCUGCUGCCGUCUGCACUGCUGCUGCUCACCGCCCAUCAGCAGAGGUAACACUGAACGCUAGGAUGCUUCCUUUUGUCUUUAACCAGCACCCCUUAAUCUCUACUGUCGCGCAGCUGGCAGUGCUGCAGUUGGAAGCUGCCCGCCUCCAUGUGCA
RNAcentral lists this long non-coding RNA (1564 nucleotides) under Gallus gallus (chicken). RNAcentral describes it as "long non-coding RNA NONGGAT008278". The record is from RNAcentral. Lineage: Eukaryota; Metazoa; Chordata; Aves; Galliformes; Phasianidae.